GAUGAACGCUGGCGGCGUGCUUAACACAUGCAAGUCGAACGAAGCACUUUAUUUGAUUUCCUUCGGGACUGAUUAUUUUGUGACUGAGUGGCGGACGGGUGAGUAACGCGUGGGUAACCUGCCUUGUACAGGGGGAUAACAGUUGGAAACGGCUGCUAAUACCGCAUAAGCGCACAGCAUCGCAUGAUGCAGUGUGAAAAACUCCGGUGGUAUAAGAUGGACCCGCGUUGGAUUAGCUAGUUGGUGAGGUAACGGCCCACCAAGGCGACGAUCCAUAGCCGACCUGAGAGGGUGACCGGCCACAUUGGGACUGAGACACGGCCCAAACUCCUACGGGAGGCAGCAGUGGGGAAUAUUGCACAAUGGGCGAAAGCCUGAUGCAGCGACGCCGCGUGAGCGAAGAAGUGUUUCGGUAUGUAAAGCUCUAUCAGCAGGGAAGAUAAUGACGGUACCUGACGAAGAAGCACCGGCUAAAUACGUG
RNAcentral lists this ribosomal RNA (481 nucleotides) under uncultured bacterium. Its description in RNAcentral is "partial 16S ribosomal RNA". It matches the Rfam family "Bacterial small subunit ribosomal RNA", at positions 28 to 507 of the family's 1533-position model. The record is from RNAcentral.